Molecule: ribosomal RNA, 448 nt
Filed under: uncultured bacterium
Lineage: Bacteria
Description: bacterial SSU rRNA
Rfam family: Bacterial small subunit ribosomal RNA
Source: RNAcentral
UCGGGAAUUUUGGGCAAUGGGGGAAACCCUGACCCAGCAACGCCGCGUGAAGGAUGAAGUAUUUCGGUAUGUAAACUUCGAAAGAAUAGGAAGAAUAAAUGACGGUACUAUUUAUAAGGUCCGGCUAACUACGUGCCAGCAGCCGCGGUAAUACGUAGGGACCAAGCGUUGUUCGGAUUUACUGGGCGUAAAGGGCGCGUAGGCGGCAUGACAAGUCACUUGUGAAAUCUCUGGGCUUAACCCAGAACGGCCAAGUGAUACUGUCGCGCUAGAGUGCAGAAGGGGCAAUCGGAAUUCUUGGUGUAGCGGUGAAAUGCGUAGAUAUCAAGAGGAACACCUGAGGUGAAGACGGGUUGCUGGGCUGACACUGACGCUGAGGCGCGAAAGCCAGGGGAGCAAACGGGGAUUAGAUACCCUUGUAGUCCCUGAGCGGGCUGGCAAGGCGCAU